AAUAUAUUACUAUAUAUAAUAAAAACUUUAAAUUUUUUUUGUAAUAAUUUUAAAUAUACUGUUAAACUGUGUAUUAAUAAUAUAAAGAUAUUAAUUUUAGUAAAAAUAUUAUUAUUUAAACUCCAAAAUAUAAUAAUGACGUAAAAGAAGUGAAUUUAUUUCUUACACUUUGGUGUAAGUGGAAACUGUGAUAGAUGAGUUUAUGAUCAGGGAAAUGGCUAUCAGCUCAAGAGGAUUGAUAAACAUACAAUAAUGAUUCUUAUCUGAAAUAUAAAACAUAUAUUAUUUAUAUAUUUUCCUGCUGCAGAUAAUUAUACAUUACCAUACACUCCUCUCACAUCUCCCUUAUAAACGUCAUACAUCUAACUAGCGAAAGCAAGGUUUAAUUUACCCACUACCACCGUUGCCGCUGCCAUCGCCGCCGUUGUUGUUAAAGUCCUGCCUAGGAAUGUAAUGAUGGUUGUUGACACUGCUUCCAGGAUAAGUGUAGCCAACAUUCACAUCCUUGUUCUCUUCUACAUUCAUUUCUACACUUAAAGCUUUCCUAUUUGUAGCCAAGCAAGACCUCAUCAUCACAAACAUAAGGAGGACUAGGGCAAGCCUUAGCCUCACAACACCCAUCUGCUUAAUUCUUCCUGUGAACAAUAACCUGUUUGUAAGCUUUAGAGAUUUUUUUUUUUUUUUUUUUGUGGAAGAGAUUAGGGAGGAAGGAGAGGGAUUAACCUGUUUUAUAUAGAGAGGAAUGGCAUUGGCACACCUUAUGAGAUUUUUUUUUAAAAUAAUUUUAAUGAAAAUAUAUAUGGGAUGUCCACUAAAAUGGGACAAGAUUAAGUGGGAUGGCCAAGCUAUCACAUUCAAAAAUUGAUGAGAUUUAGGAAUUAUUUAAUUAAUUUAUUCCUAAAAAUAAGCACUAUAAAUAGGAAAACUCCACCCUUAGUGGUGGAUUUGGAUGCAACAAAUUUAAUUUCAAUUUGAUGUCAAAAGCUUAAUUAGUAGCAAGUAACUUUUGGGUAUUAGGAAGUUUCUUGAGAAACUUUGUAGGUAGCUACCACACUAUGAAGUGGAGACAUUUGGAAAGCCUUUGCUUGGAUUUAGAAGAUAUUUUUACUUGUUAAUCAUUGCUUUGCUUUUUAGGAGUUAAUCAAUCAUUUGUAGGAAGACACUUGGCUCAAUCUACACUUUAUUUAGCUCAAUCUUUAUGGAUGUGUGGAUUUUGAUUAUGAGAACAAUGUCCUCUUAACCCAAAAUCCAUGUUGACUUAAUUAUAUUUCUUCAUUAUUAAAUCCAUAAAUGAAUUAUUAUUAUUAUUUGCAACACAUUAAAAGAAAUAAAAUAAUUAUUGAUUAUCGCUGGGUUUCUUCGUCCCGGUCUAAGAUCAGGCCCAUUGGGGAACCCAUAAUCUGAAGGAUUCUAAGCCUCCUUCAAGAAUCAGGUUCAACCCACUCAGCUCAAAGACCGGACUCCAGUCAGUUUCUUCAAUCAGGCCGGUCCAGCCUUUAUGACCCGAGGAUUAGAUCCUCUCUAGGCCCAACUCCGACCCCACCUUUCAGCCUAACUCAAAGAAAGAAAGGCGACCAGCCCACUCGCCUGGUGGGCCCAUCCGCACCCGCGUCUGGGAUAAUCAGGGGUCGUUAUGCAUGGAACAGCAAUCUGAUUUCUUCGUACGUCCAUAUCAAAGUAACAGAGACAGGUGACCCAAUGACACACAUUCUGUUACACAUCACUAGCGGACAAAAAGAAACAUAUAAAAAUAGAAAUACUCUCCUCUAAUUCUAAGUUUUUUCCAGUUUUAUAAAACCUUGUAAAACUCUAUUUUCUCAAAUCAUCAAUUAUGAUUUAAGUAAGCUCAUUAUUUUAAUUUAUAGCUUUUCAAAUUUUUGAAUAUAACUGUGUUUCUUAUUUCAUUCUUACGACUUAAAAACUCAAUUAUUUCAUCAUUUAAUUUUAAAAUUAUAAUUAUUCACAUCAUGUAAUUUUAAAUAAUUUGGAAAGACAAUGAUUAGUUAAUGUAUUUCUUAUUUUUUAUUUUUUAUAAGAAUUUAGAAAAAUGAGUUCACAAAGAAAAUUAUUUUCAAUUUAAAAAGCUAGAAAAUAUAUUCAAAUUAUCAUUGUUUUUAGAAAUAUGUUCUUUUUAUAAUAUUCUCCAUCUUAAUUUUAUAUUAAUUUAAAAUAAAAAAAUUAAUAUAUUUUAUAUUAAUUUAAAAUAAAAGAAAAUUUAUAUAUCGUUAAAUAUAUAAAAAUAUAAUUAUUAAAAACCUUAUUUUAUUUAUGUAUGGAGUUAUGUAUUUUUCACUUUUUAAAUAUAAUAUAAAAAAUAAUUAUUUCAGUAUUUUAUAUUUCUUUUAUAAAAUUUAGAGAAAAAAAUUACUUUUAUUUUUUAAUUAGAGUAAAAGAGUGAAAAUGAAGAAUUUUUAUUUUUUAAAAAAAAUAAAAAAUAUAUUUUAAAAAAAUAUAAAUAUUUCCUGUAAUUAAACAUGUUGUAUAAUAUUUUUGGGACAGCUACAAAUAAAAUUGUUUAAAAAAUUGAACAAAGGGAGCAUGUCAAAAUAAACAUUAGUCUUUAUAAUUAUUUUUUAAAAUAUUAAAAUUUUCUUGUAUAUUUUGAAACGCGGAUCAUGAUUUGAGAUUCAAAAAAAAAUAGAGUUUUAAUAUAUAUCUGUGAAUGAAUUUAGUCUGAAUUGUUAACGAUUUCUUCUUUUAUUCUCUUUUUUAUUUAUUUUCUAGUCACGUAUAACCACCAUUCUACUAUAAUGUUAUUUGUCGUUAUUAUAUAGAGUUAUACGUAUGGACGUACUUUCUCUCUUUCCAUCAUUAGACAACUAUUUAAUUUUUUUCGGCACUUGUACUCAUAGGAUCAUAGAUGUAGAUAGUCCGGAUCAUAGAUGUAGAUGAAUUCAUUCUUCACUGAUCCAUUAAGUCAGGUGAAUUGGAUUCUUUUUGUUGAGUUCAAGUCUCACUCUGCUCGGCAUAUUCGAGUGUGAUAUGAAUCAUGAGUGUGGUAUGAAUCGUGUGCUAUUGGACAGGCUUAUAUAGUAGAUUCUGAUGAAUUUUUAUCCAGGACAGUUUGACUGCGGUUCGGAGAAUCAUCAAUGGGAAAAUAAAAUGUAUUUUAUUCUGAGGCCCAAAACUCCAAUUGUAAUGUAAUAAUUAUAAUAACAACAACCAUAAACUCCAGUCUUUUCUUGCAUAUUUCAAGUUUUAGAGCCUUAAUAUUUCAAAAUUGCCAGCUUAACUCCAAUUAUUAAAAAAAAUUACUGUUUUUUCUUCUAUAUAAUUUAGUGAAAUUUCAUUUAUUUUUAAUUAUUAAACUCGAUUAAGGACAACCAUUCAUCCUAACCCAAUUUCUUCUUGUUUUCUCGUGAAUCAAACAUUUCAAAAUCUUCACCUAAGGCCAUUAUUAAUUGUUUUUGGAAUCAUCCAACUACAUCAAUUCAAAAGAACAAUUAGUAUGAAUUUUCCCCAUCCAUAUUUGCCACUCCAUGAAAAUGACAAGCACCCAAAUAAAUUAAAUAUGACUGAGAUUUGGGAACAAAUUAUCUAUUUAUGGAAUUGAAAAAUAUUCCUACUUAAUCACAAGUUUUCAUUCAAAAUGCAAUAUUGAAGUCUAAGAGAAGACUUUAAAUUUAUUUAGAUAUGAUAUUCAUGAAUUCAAUCAAACCGCAUGAUGAAUUAUAUUUUGAAAUUGAUCGAUUCGAUUUAAUAUUUUAAAUAAAUUAGAUCGAUUCGAUUCGCUUAUUUUAAUUUUACUUGGGUUCGAUAACCAAGAGAUUCGGUGCUCAGCCAUACUGUUUGCAUGGGAGACGUAAUUUCCUACUUCGACUUCAUCAACCCAAAGCCAUUAAAUAGUUUUCAUGCCACUUUUAAGGAAAUGUUCGACUUCCAAUAAUCAAAGGUGUUUGACUAAAUGGCUUUGCUCAACUGAGAAUUAAUUGCUUGAUAUCAUUAUGUAAGAACAGAGAAAAUGUACUUUGUUUUCAUCAAAAAUCUGUUUUCCUCCAUUGAUAUUGAAGAUUGAUCAUGCUGUAUAAAAGAAGGCAAGCCUCCUCAAUCAAAGUGCAUGAACUUGUGCUAAAAGAUGAGCAUCAAACUCUUGUGUUUAAUCACUUUCUUCAUUUCUCUCUUCUUGAAUACCCUCCCAAUUUCUUCUCAAGAAAUUGGCAAGUCUAAUGAAAGAAGUUUCUCUUUCUCAGCUACAAAAUUAAUAGUCAAUCUUGUAGUUUAUACUAAUGUUUAGAUUUCUGUGUUUGUGCAGAUGAUGAAGAAGAGUUUGAUUAUCAUAAUGGCCACAAGGGGCCAGUUUACUGGGGACACCUUCGUCAAGAAUGGAGUGUAUGUAGCAAUGGAUCCAUGCAGUCUCCAAUUGAUCUGUUGGAUGAGAGCGUUCAAGUUGUUUCUAAUUUGGGGAGGCUUAAAAGAAGCUACAAGCCCUCCAAUGCUACUCUUAAGAAUAGAUUUCAUGAUAUGACGGUAAGGAACUGAGAGAUUAGAAAAUUGAAGUUAAACAGGUGUUUGAUGAAAUGCUUGUGUGAGAUCUAAUUACACAUCAACGGAUUAUCCUUGAAUUUUCUCUUCUCCCAUUAAAAUCUUAUCUUAUUUUGAUGCAGAUACAAUGGGAAAGUGGUGCAGGAUAUAUUCAAAUAAAUGGGAUUAGAUAUUAUCUCAAACAGUGUCACUGGCACUCCCCUUCUGAGCAUGCCAUCAAUGGCAGGAAAUAUGCUCUAGAGUCGCAUAUGUUACAUGAAAGCCUAGAUGGAAAGGUUGCUGUGGUUGGGAUUGUAUACAAAAUAGGAAGGCCAGACUCUUUCUUGUCAUCAGUAAGUACCAUAAUAUACUUAUAAACCACCAUCACCGCCGGCUGCCGCCGCCAUCUCUAUCUUUCUCUAAAAUAUAUGCUUUUUAUUCUCUUCAUCUCAGCUGACAGGCCAUUUAAGAUCAGUGGCCGGCACCGUACAAAAAGAGACUAAGGUGGGUAUAGUUAAUCCAAGGAACAUCAAAAUAGGCAGCAGAAGGUAUUACAGAUACAUGGGAUCUCUUACAACACCUCCUUGCACUGAAAAUGUUCUUUGGACCAUUGUUAGAAAGGUUUGCCCUAAUUACUCAAGAACAUCAUCAAAUUAAUUCUUUGUUCUUUAUAUAUAUAUUAAAGCUUUUAUUUAUUAAUUUCAGGUGAGGACUGUUACUAUAGAACAAGUGAGAUCACUUAGAGUAGCUGUUCAUGAUGUGAGUUCUAUUAAUGUUCGAUUCAAAAUGUUAAAUUCUUGAUAUUAUAAGUAAAUAAAUUGAGCAAUUUGUUUUCUUUUUCUUGAAAUUCUUGGCUUAAUUACAUUUUGAACAAGUUUAGAUGUUAAUGUAUAAAUAUCUUUUGCAGGAAUCUAAUACAAAUGCCAGGCCAAUUCAACGAAUAAAUGGACGAAUAGUGCAACUUUACAGACCAGAAGAAAGGCUGAUAAUGGAUUAGAAAUCUAUGAUUUACUCUUUGGAAAACUUACUUUUUAAUCCUUAUACUAUAAGAAAACUUAUUACUUGGUAUUAAAAAAUAUAUUAAAAACAUUCAUGAGAAAUUGAAAAUAUACUUUUAUUCAAAAAUAAUCUGCUCAGAGGAGAAUAAUCUUUCAGGUAAUAAUUGAUUUAUUUUUGUUUCUGCAAUACAAUCCUGGAUCACUGACCCAAGGCCCAGGGGCAGAAUUAAAAACAUUUAAACUGGGGGCCGAAAGAGUGAGAAGAUUAGAAGUAAAUAUAAUAAUAAAAAAUUUAAAAAUUUCAAUUCUCAUAUUAAUAUUUUUAAAAUUUAAAAAGGCUAAAAAUACAAUUCCAACAAAAAUAAUGGAUAAUAUAAAGAUAUGUGUACAAGUUCCUAAAAGCUGGAGAAGCUAAAAGUAUAUUUUUAAUAAAAUUCUUAAAAGAUAUAUGGGUAUUGAUUAUAACCAGAUUCUGGAUACUCUGGCUCAAGUUGGACCCGUGCUAGAAAGGAAAUCUAAUCAUGCUCAUUUAAUCCACUGAGAUCCACAUAGCCAACUAUAAUGAAAAUUAUAUUGGAAACAUCUUAAACGACCUGAGUUCAACUCAGGAAGAACCACGGUUCUCAUUUUCUAGCCUAACUACUCCAUUAAACAACACUCUAUAUUGUUCAGCCCUUCACCAAGCUCGACUAGAACCAUGCCUCAAACUAACUUAUCUAACCAAGAGCUGCAAAAUAUAGCUCUCCAGCUACAAAAUACAAUCUAAUGGCUAGGCCAGAUGUUGCAACAAAGAGGGUUCAGCACUCAUUGAGUGUACCAUCCGUCGUUGAGGGGUUCAACAUCAAUGAACUCCAACCCAAAUUAAACUACUAAACUCCUCAAUAGAACAGUAGGAGAACAGAUGACGGGGAUGGAGAGGCCAAUCAAAGAAAUAAGCCGAUAGCCAAAACAAGAGACAGGGUAGUGAGAGAGCAUAUCGAGAAUGAUAAGGCUGACAGCUAUUUCUCUGAGCUAGUGAAAAGAUCGAAGAGUGAAGAGUUAGAAAGAAACUACCACUUAGAGAAGAGGCCUAAGAGGGAGGAUGUAGACAUGGAUCAGAAAUUAGAGAGGCUGAAAGAACAACUACUAAUGAAGUUGAGAGCACGAGAUAACAGUCCCAUGUUACCAACCUCAUCACCGUUUGUGAGACAGGUUCAGCAAGAGAUUAUUCCCAAGAAGUUCAUGAUGUCAACAAUGGGGGCUUACGAUGGGACGGGAAACCGCAAUGAGCACAUCCUGAACUACAAGAUAUUCAUGGAACUGCAAACUCAGCCGGAUGCCUUGAUGUUCAAGUUUUUCCUAUCACCUUAAUAGGAUCGGCCCGGGUGUGAUUUAACAGCUUGGAGGCAGAAAGUAUUAAGAGCUUCAUCAACCUGGCCAGCACAUUCAUCAGCAAAUUCAUCGCCAGGGUCCCUGCGGAGAGAAAGAUAAGCUACUUAGAGACCUUUCAACAAAGGAGGAAUGAAUCCUUAAGAGAGUACGUGGCCAGGUUUCACUCUGAGACUUUGAAGAUACCCGAACUUGAUGAAGGAAAAGUUGCAGAAGUUAUGUAGAAGGGCACUACCUCCCUGGAGUUCUUCGGGUUUGUUGUUCCUUGAAGCAACUCAAGAGGGGGUGAAUUGGGUUUGUAAACAAAAUUUAAAGGUAAAGAGACACAAAUUAAAAGGCAAUAAGAAAGUUAGAGAAAAAUCAACACAAUGGUUUAUAGAGGUUCAGCUAUCUUAAGCCCACGUCCUCUCCUCAAAACCCUCCUUGAGAGUUCAACUCCACUAUCAAAUCUAAAGAUUAAAACCCCUUACAAUUCUAGAGCAAAACCCUUGCUCUUUACAAAUCUCUUUUUCUCACAAGAGCAGUCCUUUGCUCAAAAACACACCUACUACAAUAAAUUCACUCAACAACCUUUACUCAAUCUUAAAACUCAAACCAAUUACAACUCAAGACAUGCUUUCAAGAAAUUAAUGAUACGGCUCAAGGUUUUGAGAGAGAGAGAGAAAAAAGCUUUAAUCUCAAUAAUUGUAUACUUAGAUCGUUGUUGUAAACUUUUCAUAUCAAAAACACAUUAUAUUUAUAGUUCUGUCAUAAAUAUGACCGUUGGGAAUACAUUAAAUACAAAUAGAGCCGUUUGCAUACAGAAAUAACCGUUAUAUCAUGACUAGAAAAACUCAGGUUCAGCGGCCUAAGGUUAAAGUUCAGCGGCCAAACCAUUUGAGGUGAAGAACAUCUUUCUUGAAAAUAGACUUUCGGCGGCCUAAAGUCCAUGUUUGGCGGCCGAACAUUUUGGACUUUUGCCUUUGUCCCUUCUCCUUCGAAAGCCGAAAGUGUCACUUUAUGGGGCAUAUUGAAAAUAAACUUUCGGCGACCUAAAGUCCAUGUUCGGCGACCGAACAUCUUGGACUUUUGCUUUUGUCCCUUUUCUUUCGGAAGCCGAAAAUUUCACGUUAGGGGACAUGUUGAGAACAAACUUUCGGCGGCCUAAUAUCCAUGUUCGAUGGCCGAACAUAUGGGACUUUUGUUUUUGUCCUUCAAUUUCGGAAGCCGAAGUUUUGACUUUAGGGGCAUGUUGAAGACAGACUUUCGACGGCUUAAAGUUUAUGUUCGGCAGCCGAACAUAUAGAACUUUUGUCUCUGUCUUUCACUUUUGGAAGCCGAACAUUUGACUUUAGGGGCGCAAAAAUAUUUCUUUAAACUUUGAAAAAUUAUAACUUAGACUAUGAAACUCCAUUUUUUCAAUCUGUUUGAGUUUUUGCAACCUAUAUUUUUAGAUCUUUUAUUUUGAUAAAAGAUAAUUUCAAAAUCACUCCUUUUAAAAAAUUUCAUUUUGGUCCCUCAAAAAUAAUUAUUUAAAACUUUGCCAUAUUUAUAAACUUUUAGGAUUAAAAUAAAACUUGAGCCAUCACAAUUAAUUAAUUGAAAUUAACAAUACAUAAAUUUACAAUACAUAAAGAAAAAAGUUACAAUCUAAUCCCUUUCUUGUGACAUGCUUCCAAAUUUGAUAUUUUUAAUUUUUGAAACUAAAGUGAUCUCAUUUAUUUUAAUAAGGAACCUACAAGCUCAAUACAAACACUUUUGAAGAUAAUUAGUAGCACACCAAUUAUUUAUUAGUUAUCAAUACAAGAAUUAGAACACUUAGGUCCAACAGAGUUAUUAUGCACAAAACUACAUACUAUUGUAGUAGAGCCGAUAAAAAAAGUAGAGAAGUAUAUUUGUUAUUUUUAAAAUAAUAAAAAUAAAUCAAAAUCAUUAAGCAAAGAAGAAAAUGUUAUUAAUAUUGAAGAAAAUAUCAAUAACACUUGCAUAAUAAUUCACAUGAAUUUACAGGUAUGUCCUAGAGAUGCACUUGGUUCAUGAGAGCCAGGAUGGGAAAAUUGCAGUAGUUGGAAUUUUAUACAAAUUAGGAAGACCUGAUUCUUGCUUGUCAUAUGUGAGUGUUAUGUACAACCGGUUGACAGCUGUUAGCAUAAAACAAGUGAUAUUGGUUCAUGUAGCAGCUCAUUACGUGAGUUCAAUAAUAUGCUUCUUGAUCAUAUUAAACUUUAAGCCCCACAUGAAGAUCAGGGGAUAAACACAAGAAGUUGCAGAGCUUCUAACUUUGAAGAAGAAAGCAGAGAGCUUCUAGCAUUGGAGGAUUUUAACUUGUCAAUUUUUCUCUUCCAUGAGGCCUCUGCUACCACCCACAUAGUGCCAAAGAAAAAGAAAACACAAUAUUAAACUAAUUAUGAUUAUAAAUGUGUUGAAUUACUCCUGAUCAAGUUUGACUCAAGCCAGAAAUUCUGACAAGCUAAUUUUAAAUUUUUCAAAAUUCAGCUCGGCUCCAUUUUUUUACUUUUCAACUAGUAGGACAUAUUUGGAUUCAGAACAGUAACAAAGUGAUAACAUGAAUUACAGAAUGACACAAUGCAUUAAAAUUUUAUUAUUUAAAAAGGAACUACUGCAAUGGAACCAAAGUGACAUCUUGAAUUACACUCCUUGCUGUACACAUACUAUCAGUUUAAAUAUAGAAAUGAGGAAAUGCAGAAUGCUAUUACAGCACUUAGUACCAAAAUCACACUAAAACUGAAAGCAACAAGAUUUGCAGAAGAAAAAAAAAAACUGCUAACAGAUUGGCAGAGGUGUGCCAUCCCAAUCCUUUAGACAUUCAAGAAGAGGAUCAAUGAUCUUUCCUUCACAAAUUGCUGUAAACAACUUUUCAAAUUCCUCACCAGGAGACCUCAGCUUCUCUCCUGUCAGAAGUUCAGUCCCCAAAGCUUCUCUCACGAACUUGUACAGUGGAUAAGACCUGCACUCUUUGAUUCUGUUUGGGACUGCAGGAUUCCCACUCUCACAAGCAAUUCUUGCAGCUUCUACUUCUUCUGGCAAGACUGACUUCAGUUCGUCUUCGAAAGCACCUAUCUUGAGGAAGAUUGAAGCAUGCAUAUUGUUCAUAUAAUCAUUGUUUGUUAAUGCAUGAUCCACAAUGACUUGUCUCAGCUUCUGCAUUAAUGGGUAAGUUGAGUUACAUGGAUCAUCAAUGUAUGCAAAGACUUGCUCGCAAUCGACUACUCUAAGCAGAUCUUUCUCACGGAAUCUUGAAGGAUGACGCUCACCAUUAACUACCAUGUUUAGAAUCUUCUUAGCCACUUGGCUCACUGUGUUCUUAACUGUACUCUUCAAAUUCUCUUCUAAAUGCCUUAAAUCUAUAGCCUGGCAAAGUGCAACCAAGAAAGUUGAGGACAUGAGCUUUAAGAUAUCAACUGCUUCUGCUGUUUUUCUCGAAGAAAUCAACCCUAAUGAGUUCACAUCUUGAUUGUGCUGCUCAGCACUGUGAACAUGGUUUGUGACAGGAUUUGCAAGGUAUUGAAGCUCAGAGCAAUAGGCUGCCAUGGCAAUCUCAGCACCCUUGAAACCAUAAUCCAAGCUAGGAUUCCUUCCUCCUGUGAGAUUUGAAGGCAACCCAUUAUUGUAAAAAUCAUUAACAAGCUCAGAGAAUUGAGCAAACAUGAGUUUCCCAAUUGAAGCUAAUGCCAAUCUAGCGUUGUCCAUUGAGACACCAAUUGGGGUCCCCUGGAAGUUUCCUCCAUGCAAGGCUUUGUUCCUUGAGACAUCAAUCAGUGGAUUAUCAUUCACAGAAUUAAUCUCUCUUUCAAUGGACUUGGUUGAGAAUCGAAUCACUUCAAUUUGUGGGCCUAACCAUUGUGGUGAUGUACGAAGAGCAUACCGAUCCUGCUUAGGCUUCUGCAAAGGAUCCAUCUCAUGCAACUUCUUUGCUUCUUGAACAUAUGAACUUCCAUCCAAAAUGUGUUCCAUAAUAGCUGCAGCCUCAAUCUGCCCAGGAUGAUGCUUCAAUUUAUGCGUCAAAUGAUCUGUAAACUCAGGUUUCCCUUGCAUAACUUCAGCAAAAAUAGCUGAUAAAACUUCUGAUAAAAGAGCCAAUACAUUAGCAUCAAAAAGUACAAUAGAUGCCAAGCCAGCACCAACUCCAGUGCCAUUAACAAUAGCAAGACCCUCCUUAGGCUGCAACUCAAAGAACCCGCCGGCGAUACCAGCCAGGCGAAAGGCUUCUCCGGCAUCAAGGGUUUCUCCGUUAGGCCCUACUGCGGUGGAAUUGGGUCUGCCAGUUAGGAGUCCGGCUAUGUAUGAAAAGGGGACUAAGUCGCCAGAGGCAGUUAUUGAGCCGCGCAGAGGCAAGCAUGGAGUGAUGUUGUGAUUAAUGAGCUUUGUUAGGGCUUCUAGGAUCUCAAACCUGAUGCCGGAGUAACCCUGGAGGAGAGUAUUGAUUCUCACAAGCAUGGCUGCCCUUGUUGCUGUUCGCGGCAAUGUAUGGCCUGAUUCUGCUCCUUUGCCAAAGAUUCCGGCAUUCAAGAACCUGAAGCAGCAGACCAUACCCUGAAGAUAUUAGUUUACUGAAAUGUGUUAAUUAAAAUCUAUUAAUUAACCUUUUCAAUAAUUUUAAUUUAUUAAAAUAUUUUUAAUAGAUAUUUUUUAUAAAAUUAAAAAAUAAAUUUUUAUAUAUCAUAAAAAUUAAAUAAUAAAAAAUUUAAUAAUUAAAAUUAAUAAAAUAACUAAUUUUUUUAUAAUAUAAAAAUUAAAUAUUUUUUUAAAAUAAAAUAUAUACAAAAAUAUAUCUAAUUCCUAAUCCUAUUACCUCACCAAUGGGGUGGGGUGCUUCUCUAAAGCAUGGAACUUAUAUAUCACAUCACGUGGACCCAAAAUUUAAUGCUACGCACUCUUUUAGACAAGUCACAGACCAAUCACGACUAAACACCUACCUAAAACAGCACCUCACUUCCUUCAUACCACUAAAUAAAAAUUUUUUAAAAAAUAGGGAAAAUAUUUUUCUAUAAAUAUGUAAUUUUUUUGUUCUUUUCAGAAUAUAGAAUAAUCAGAUAAAUAAAAUAUUUUUUUUCUUAAUACUUUUAAUGUGAUAGAAAUAGAGGAAGAGAAAAUUUUGCCUAACUUUGGUUUAUAUGAAUUUAACACAUAAUAAUAUUUUUAAGAAAAAUGUAUUUUAUAUUUUAUAUUUUUUUAUAUUUAAAAUAUUUAAAAAAUUAUUUUAUUAUAUAACUCAUCAAUUAUAUUAUGAAUUUUCAAAUUAAAAGAACAUUGUAGACUAAAAAAUAAAGGGCCUACCUAAUAAGCUCCUGCUGCAGCGCGGCUCCUUGCUUGGUUCUUCUAUGGGAAGUAGCACCGAACCCUGUAGUGACCCCAUAACUAUCUGUCCCUUUAUUCAUACUCUCAAUUACCCAAUCACUGCUUGCCUUCACACCAUCCCUAGCUGACUCGCAUAACUCCACCGCCACUCCAUUGCCGCCUCCACUCGCCACCGCCGCCACCUGUCCGACAGUUAGCGUCUCCCCCCCAAGUCGAACGACCGCCCUCCUAUAUUCCCUAACCAUUUUCUUCACCUCCUCUACAUGGCUGCCAUUCAAUGCCUCCGCCGCUAAACCCCACUUCAAUGGAUCCUUCUCCACGCAGCACCCAUUGCUAUAUUUGUGAUCCCCAUUUUGCUUUCCGCCGGACACUUCCAUUGAGACGAAAACAAAGUGCAAGAAAAGGUGUCAGGUGGCUAAACCCUGUUUGGUUACUAAGAAAAUUUUUUAGGGAAAAUUUUUAUUAUUUUUCCUCUUCAGCACCAUGCUUUCAUGAGGUCUUUAAAUAGAGAGAAUGGUACGUAUUAAAAAGAGUGACAGGUGGGAUACUGGGUGUGUUAGUUGAAACGCAUUUUUGGCCGUUUGAUCUUCAUGCAAUCUAAGGGCUGUUGUUUUGACACGUUGGAUCAAUGGGAGGAGCAAGUAGGAAAUGCAUGAUUCUCAUCUUACCCGUCAAAUGGGAGGAGGUUGGUGGGUUGUAUGGUAUAAGUUAUUAUACAAAAUAGUCAGAGAAAAAUUAUUUAAUAUGCUCAUUAAUUAUUUAACAUUAAUUAUAAUAAAAUUUAUCAAAAUUAUCAUAAUUUUAAUUUAAAUUUAAUAAUUAAAAUUCUUAUAUGUACAUUUAUUUUUUAAUAAAAAAAUAAAAUAUUAAUUAUAAUGAUAUUUAUAUAAAAUCUACUAUAAUCAACUAUUAAAUUAUAAUUUCUAUAUAUACAAUUGCUGAAAAAAAUUUUCAUCAGCAAAUAAUAUAAUAUGGCAAGUCAAGAUAAGUCAACGCUUGUAUAGAUAUCAUUAUUAGAAAAAGUAUAUAGCAGCCCCAAAUUUUUUUAGAAAAUUAUAAUUUAAAUUUUAUAAUAUAAAAAAAUUUAUUAGUUAAUCUUUUAAUUUUAAAAAAUUCAUUAAAAUAUUAUUAAAAUUUUAAAAAAUUUAUUAAUUAAUUUUUUAUUAGUUUUAACUGUUACGUAUUAUAAAAAAAAUUUAAAAUUUUUUUGAUAUAGAAAGAUUAUUUAAUAAAUAUAUAUAUAUAUAUAAAUUAUAUAAAUUAAUAAUUAUUUAAUUAAAUAAUUCAAUUUUUUUUAAAAAAAUAUUAUUAAAAUAGUUAGAUAUUGACCAUUGAUUAUAACAAAAUUCAUAUGCAUGAGAUUUGAGUAGAUGAAUUUGAUUUUUGUGUGAUAGUGUUGGUGAUCCAACAACCUCAGCCAACAUUCAUUUGCUUGGUAGUUGGAGUCUACAUGUAAUGUUAGAACUUAUAAUAAUAAAACUAAUUAAUAGUUUGAGAUCACAUAGCAUAAUUUGUUGCAUUAAAAGGUUUAUUAAUUUGUAUUUUGUCAAAAUUAAAUGCUUUUUUUUUUUAAUUUAAUUAAAAUAAUUAUAUAUUUUAAGAUAAAUUAAACUUUAAUUUUUGAGUUUUAAUAUAAUUAAUAGAUUGAUCCCUAUAUUUUUAAAAUUAAAUACUUAAAUUUUUCUAUAAUUAAUCUGUCCAAAUUAGAGUUCACUCCAUCCAUUUUUAACGUGAAAAUGAAUAAAUUAGAUUUGAAUAAUUUGGUUUAGCAUAAUUAAUGAAUCGAUAUAUAUAUUUUUAAAAGCCUAUAUUUAAAUCUGUCGAUAAUCAGUACGUUCUUAUUUAUUAUAAUUUAAUAUUUUAAUUCUUUAAUUUUUAUUUGAAAAAACACUUAAAUCUCAUUAAUUUUUUGUUUACAAUAUAUCAUUUAAUUAAUUUUUAACACUUUUUAUUCUUCAAUUUUCGUUCAUUAAAAUAUUUCAAUACGUAUAAUUUUAAAACUUUUUAAAAAUAUUUAUAAUUUCAGUUAUUUUUAAGUGGUAUCAAAUAAUUUUUAAGUAUAUUAUAAAUUUUUAUAAAAAAUAUUUUAAUAAAAAAUUAUACUCUCACAAGAAAUUUAACCAAUCACUAGUUUUAAACUAAUAUCUAUAAUGAAUGAAAAAAAAAAUAUAAUUUUAAACAGAUUAAAUAUAAAAAGUUUUAAUAAUUUAAUUUUAAAAAUAUAAAGACUAAUUCGUCAAUUAUAUUAAAAUUUAAAGAUUAAAGUGUAGUUUACAUAAUAUAAAAUUUUUUAUAUAUAUUAAAAAUAAUUUAAGUGUAUUUUUAGAUAUUUAAAAUAUUUAUUCUCUCUUUUACCAGUUGACUAAUAAAAUUAUCAAACAAAGAAUUUCAAUUUGAACAUAUUAAUUAUAUACGGAUUGAAGUGUUGGAUUUUAAAAAUAUAGAAAUCAAUCAAUUAAUUAAAACUAAAUUAUAAUUUAUUAUCUUAUAUUUUAUAAAAUUAAACUCUUUAAUUUUUUAUAUUUUAUAAAAAAAAUAGAUACACUUAUUUUAUUCUUAAUUUAAUGGGCUAAAUAAAAUUAAAAUUAUAAAAAUUAAAUAAUAUAUAUUAUAUUGAUUAAUAUUUUUUUAAUAAAAAAUUAAAGAGUGAUUUUAUAAAAUAAAAAAAAGCAUUAAUUAAUUGAAUUUUGAAAAUAAAAAACAAAAAAAAAUUAAUUUUGAUAAAAUAUAUAAAAAGUUCAAAUAUUUCUAUAACCAGGAGUAUUUUUGAUAAAAAUAGAUAUAAGUGGGCAAAUUGUGAAGCAGAUAGACAAGGAAGGUGGUGGUUUGAUGUUCACAGACGUCAACGUCCAUGCAAAUUCAUAUACUGUGGGAUAUUUUUUAUUUGGAUUUUUGUGGAGAUUUUAAGGGAAGUCAAAUUAUCAAUGGUGAAAUUGUAAUUAAGCAAAUCCACUAUUUUAAUUUGGUUUGGUUGGUUUUUCAAAUUCUUCUCACCAACCCACUUCACAAAACGUGCACACCUUCUCCCUAACCUCCAAAUGUCCUCUUUUCUUUCUUUCUUUUUUCCUUAAUUUGAUAUUAAAAUAUCUAAUUGUUAAUCAUAACAGCUAGGGGGUGAGCAUUCGGUGGAACCUAACCAAACCAAAAUAAACGGAAAAUCGAAAUUUUAGUAUUUAUAAAAAUCGAAUUGAAUCGAUUUUGAUUAGAAACCGAAUCGAACCGAACCGGUCUGAUUCGGUUUGGUUUGAUCAAUUUUAAUUUUUAAUAAAUUUUUUAUUUUUUACCCUUUAUUUUUAAUAUUUUAAAAUUUAAUUAAAAUAUUUUAAUCUUAAUAUAAUUUAAUUUUUCUAUAUUAUUGAAAAUAACAUAUUAUUAUCACUAAUCGAUUCGGUUUGAUUUUUUUUAUUUUUUUAUUAAAAUCGAACCGUACCAAAAUAACUGAAAUUUUUAAAAUUAAAAAUCGAACCGAAUCAAAUUGAAUAAAAAACUGAAUUAAAUUUUAAAAUUAAUCGAUUCAAUUAAUUUUUUUGAUUUGAACUAAAUACUGCUCGGCGCCCUAAUAACAGCUCAUUAGUUGGUACAUAAAGGAUCAAAAAGGGUUCCUUUUCUAGUUUUAAAAUUGAAAUACUAAUCAACAUUUUUUUUAUUUAAAUUUUAAAAAAAUAUAAAAAAAAAUCACUUGUAUUUUUACUUUAAAAUUUUGUGAUUUAUUUCAUGUAAAAAUAAUAUUCGUGGUAUUAUAUAGUUAACAAAUAACGUUAAAUUUUAUACGCUUAAUAUAAAAAUUAUAUUAUAAAAUAUUAAUUUAAUAUAAAUUAAAUCAUAAAUCAUGAAAUAAAAAUGAAUGAAAUUAUAUGAUAGUUUUUAAAUUUUCACUUUUUAAUUAAUAAUAAUAUUUUAUUUAUUACAUCAUUAUUUUUUAAUAACAUUAAAAAAUUACGGUUAUUUAUUAAUAAUACGAUAUCAAAUAUUAUUUUGAAACAAAUUAAAUUACAGAUCUUAGAAUAAAUAUGAAUAAAAUUGAGAUUGUUUUAUAUUUCUUUAAAUUUAAACUAUUCUUAAAUUUGUACAAAUUAAAAUGAAUUAUGCUAGUCAAAUAAAAAUGAAAUUAUGAAUAUUUUUAAGUAGAAAACUUUAAAAUAUAAAUGCAACUAGAGAUGAGCAGUAUUCGGUUCAAACUGUAAAAACCGACUGAAUCGAAUUAAUUUUAAAAUUCGGUUCGGUUUUUUAUUCAAUUUGGUUCGAUUUGAUUUUUAAUUUUAAAAAUUUCAAUUAUUUCGAUUCGGUUUGGUUUUGAUAAAAAAAAUUGAAAAAACCAAACCAAACCGAUUAAUGAUAAUAAUAUGUUAUUUUCAAUAAUACAGAUAAAUUAAAUUAUCUUAAAAUUAAAAUAUUUUAAUUAAAUUUUAAAAUAUUAAAAAUAAAGUGUAAAAAAUAAAAAAUUUAUUAAAAAUCGAAACUGAUCAAAUCGAAUUGAAUCAAACCGAAUCAGACCGAUUCGGUUUUUAUAAAUACUAAAAUUUCAAUUUUUAAUUUAUUCAAUUCGAUUUGAUUUUAAACCGAACCGACAGAAUGCUGACGCCUAAAUGCAACCAUUCUCUUUAAUGUGCACCGUAAAUUGGUCAUCAAGCUAGCUUAUACAGUACAAAUCACGCAUAAGUUGCUUACAGCAGCAUAUACUGUCCGGUUCAGAUUUCCUUUCUUUAACUUGAAUCGAAAUUGUGAUUUGAAUCCGCUGUUUUGAAUUGAAAUUGAUUUAAUUUUCUAUUUACACUAAAAAUUAAAUAAAUGAUAUUUUAUAAUAAUAUAAAUUAUUAUAUUAUGUAAUUUUAAAUAUUUAAAAAUUGAUAUCAAAUUAAUAUUAUAAUCGAACUAAAAUAAUUUUGAAUGAAAAUUAUUUUGAAACUGAAAAAUUUUUGAACUAAAUUGAUAUAAGCCACAACCUCUGGUUUUAAUUUGAAAUGGGGAAAUUUUCAAUUCUAUAUGGUUUAUAGUGUAAAAUUAUAAUGAGAUUGGUAUAAAAGAAAAAAAAAUAAAUGAAUGUUUUGUGACUUCAUUAAUUUUUUAUUUUAGAAUUUAUAAUUAAAUUUAAAAAUAAAUUUUCUAUUUAUUUGUUAUUUUAAUGCUAAAUUAAAUUUAAAUCAGUCUUAAUUUAUCUGAAAAAUUAAUAAAAAAAAUAUUUAAUUAUUACAGGCUCGUAUUUUAAUAUUUUAUUAAAAUCGUAUGGCAUUUAAUUUAAACACUUUCGAAUCAAGUCAAUCUUAAAAAUCACUCGAUAUUGUGUGAAUAUAAAUUUUUUAAUUUAUUAAAAUUAUAUAAACAAAUAAUGAAAUUAAUUAAAAGUAUUUAAUCAAAAGUCUCCAUUAAACAUAAAAGAUAAAAUUAAACAUGAAAAUUUAUGAAUAAAUUAUUUAUUUUAUUUUAAACAUCGUUACAAUAAUUUUUAAUUCUAUUAUAGACAAAAGGGACCGUUUCUAAAUAAGGAAGGUACAACUCAAAAUUAACUUUUAUAAGAAUCACGAUUGUCCAAUUUCAAAUCAAUUAGGAAUUCAAUAACAUAUGGAUGCAGUUUAAACAAACUGGACCGAACCAGAUAGUUCCAUCAUAAGUUAAUUAUAAGGUAAGCGUAUAUACGUAUGACACGUAGAGCGAUAGGGGAAUGCAAACGUGGUUGGUUCUCAACGGCAAGAUCUACCGAGCUGCUAAUUGCUAACAUGCGCCUCCUCCCCAUCAAAAUCAUGUCACUGCUGGGCAAUCAAGCAUUCAAUUCUUGCCAACUUCUUGGACAGUGAAGCCACCCCUUAUUCAUUUAUGAAUAUUCAUAUCCUCUCCAUAUUUUGAUUUGUAUUAUUAUUAUUAAAAAUUUAUGAAUGGAAGGGAAAAUGGAGAAGUAGUAUCCAAUACUCAUUUUCUCUUGGAUUGCCAAACAACCAAAACUAUGAAAAAUAUUUUUUGAAUAUUUGUUUCUUCAUGGAAUUUAUAAUCACCUAACUUAAUCUAAGAAAUGAUAAUUACUAGCCGUUAAAAUAAUUAUUUGAAAACGUAAUUGUGCUAUAUAAAAUAUAUUACAAGCUUCAAGAAAUACAAUAGGGAUAAAAAUGUAAUUGUGCUAUAUAAAGUAACUUUCCGUUUCAUUUUGUUUAUUUUCUUCCCGUUUUGGUUAGAAUAAACAGGAGGGAUAAUUUAAUUACUCAUAUUUUCUUUCCUCUGGAAUUUCACUCGUAUCCAAACAGGGAAGUAGCUUUCCUCCGUUAUUUUCCAUAAUUAUUUAACUGACUGAAAUUAUUUAAGUAACGCCUCCAAAUAUAUAUUUAAUUUUAUUAUUUUAAUAUUUAUUUUCAAAUAUUUAAAAAUAAAAUAUAUUAAAAAUUUUAUAUGGAGACGAUAAAAAUAAUUUAAUAUUUUAUUUAAUUAGAAAAAAACAUUUCAUUGACUGAUUUUUUAUGAAUAUUCAAACACUAAUAAAUAUAAAAAAAAUAUUUUUUAAAAAAUAAACAAUUUAAUUUUAAUAUUUGUUAUAAUGAUACUAAUUGUUAUAAAAUCUAUAAUUGCCUCAAAGAUUAAGAAUAUAAGAGCAGGCUCUUUUUAUAGCCAGAUGAAUGUAAAGUGUGCUGAAAUUAUAGCAUUACGGGAAGUAUUGAGCUGGAUUAAAGAGUGUGGAUGGGAUCGAGUUCUUUUCGAAUUGGAUGCUCAGGUACUUGUGAUGUCAGUUAAUUAUGUUUUGUUAGAUGAUUUAUCGUCUUUUGGCCUUUUGGUUCAAGAUUGUAAACUGCUUCUAUCUAGUUAUGAGGAAGCAAAGUGUGUUUUUGUUCAUAGAUCUGCGAAUGAUAUCGCUCAUGUUCUAGCAAUAUCCGCUCAUAUUCUAGCAAUAUCGGCUCAUUCUGAGUCAGAUCAAGGAGUUUGGAUUGAUAUACCUCCUCCUCACAUUAUUUCUUUGUAUGAAGUUUUCUUGUUAUUUAAAAAAAAAAAAGAAUAUAAAAAAAACACCUAAUAAAUUAGCCCAACCCUAAUAACUUGAAUGUAAAUUAAUUAAAUUUAAUUUAAUCUAGUUUAACUAAUUUCUUUAAUUUAACUUCAAAUAUUAUUCUAAUUUAUUUCUGAUUUUGAUGAGAUUUUUUUAAUUAAUUAAAUUAGGAAUUUAAAUUAUUAAAAUAAUUAGAUAUUAAAGCCCAACAUAAAAUAAAAUUGCAAACCCAAACAAUAAUCUCGUUAGGGUAGACAGACGGUUUUUUGCAAAAUAUAGUGAAAAAACAUAAUAUAUUUCUUAAAUUUUAAUUUGCGAAAAAAUAUUUUUCAAGAAAUUUACCGCAUUUUAUAAGUGCGGUAAACUAUUCCGCACUUAUAAAAUGCGGUAUAGAGACAUUGAACUAAAAUUAAAAUUUUUUUAAAUAAAAAAAUUUUACCGCACUUUAAAAUUGCGGUAGAAUUGUAUUUAAAUUUAUUUUAAAAAAUUAAAAUUCUACUAGAAUGUAUCAAUUUCUCAAUUUAUGUAUUACCGCACUUUUAAAAUACAGUAAUACGUAGAGUUUAUUUAAUUUGUUUAAUAUAUAUUAUAUUAGUUUUAUUUAUUUAUAUAUAUAUAAAAUUUAUAGAUAAUUAUAAAAAAUAUAUUAAUUAUUUAAUAUAAUUAAAAUUUAAUAUAAUAAUAAUUAUAUAUAAAUUUAUUUUAAUAAUUAAAUUUAUAUAUAUAACAUUAUAAUUAUAUUUAUUUAAAUAUAAUAUCAUGAUUAUAUUUAUUUUAAAAAUAAUAUCAUAUAUUUUAUAUUUAUUUAUAGAAUUUAUUAUUUUUAUUAGAAUUAUAUUUUAUAUUUAUUUAUUAAAAUUAUAUUUGUACAGUAAACAUCGGAUAGCAGUACUCCACUUUUGCAUCUGAUAAUAUCUAUUUACCAUCGCAUUAUACUACAACACAAGAUUUGAGUUUGGUGGCUCCUGAUCUUAAUAUUAAUUAUGCUACUGCUGAAUGUCAGAAUACAAGUAGUGAUCGCCGGCCAUAUAGAACUCGACAUCUACAUGAACAAAGAGGACGUCAAUGUGGCACUGGAGCACAUUUAGAAUGUCAUUAGCAUUAUUUUUUUAUUUUAUCAUUUGUAAUUAUAUUGUUUUUAUUUUUAUCACAUUCCACAAUUUUAAUUAUUUAUAUGUAUUUUUUUAAAUUUUUAUAAUUUUUAAAUAUUUUAUUUAUUUAUUUAUAAAUAUAAUUCUAAUAAAAAUAAUAAAUUCUAUAAAUAAAUAUAAAAUAUAUGAUAUUAUUUUUAAAAUAAAUAUAAUUAUGAUAUUAUAUUUAAAUAAAUAUAAUUAUAAUGUUAUAUAUAUAUAAUUUUAAUUAUUAAAAUAAAUUUAUAUACGAUCAUUAUUAUAUUAAAUUUUAAUUAUAUUAAAUAAUUAAUAUUAAUAUAAUUUUUAUAAUUAUCUAUAAAUUUUAUAUAUAAAUAAAUAAAUAAAAUUAAUAUAAUAUAUAUUAAACAAAUUAAACAAACUCUACGUGUUAUCGCACGUUUUAAAGUGCGGUAAUACGUAAAUUGAGAAAUUGAUACAUUCUACCGCACGGGAUAGAAUUUUAAUAUUUUAAAAUAAAUUUAAAUAUAAUUUUACUGCACUUGUAAAGUGCGGUAGAAUUUUUUUUAUUUAAAAAAAUUUUAAUUUUGAUUCAACGGCUUUUUACCGUAUUUUAUAAGUGCGGAAGAGCCUAUCGCACUUAUAAAGUACGGUAGAACUCUGAUUCAUCCUGAUCUAAGAAAUAUUUUUUUGCAAAUCAGGAUUUAAAAAAUAUAUUAUUUUUUUCACUUUAUUUUGUAAAAAGCCCGUCGAAAGAGAAGAAGUCCAAAAGCCCAAGAAACUGAGAGGUCUAAAGCCCAAUAGACACGUACAAUUUUGUUGAGUAAAAUUUUCAACUAAAUUUGAUAAAAAUCACAAUAAUUUUUUCAAUUAAAUAUUUUUUUAAGAAAAAAUUGUUAUAAAAUAAUAUUUUUAUUCGAUUUUUUGGUUAAUAAAUUUAAAAAUCAUUUAAUAAUUGAACUAAUCAAUAUAAUUUAAUUUUUAUUAAUUAAUAUAUUUUGAUUAUAGUUUGUUCAUAAAAUAUUAUCUGUAAAUUUGAUAUUUAAUACUAUUAAUAAAACUCUAGAAAUAAUAAUUAUAUAUUAUAUUUAUAAUUUUUGUAAAUAAAAAUUGUUUUAUUAACAUAUUUAAUUUAUUAUUAAAAUAAUAUUUUUAUUAUUUCAGUUAAUUAAUUUAGUUAUAAAUGUUAUUAAAAAAUUAAUUUAAUUGUCAUUUUCUAGAAUAGUCAUAAAUGUUAGAAGGCAUUAUUCUUCAAUAAGCAAUAAAUUGGAAGAGUUAAGAAGCAACCGAAAAAUUAGAAAAGAUAGAUAUUUUCAUUCUUUCAACUUAAUUUAUUUUUAUUUAUUUAUUUAAAUUAUUUUUUUUAACUUAAACACAAUCUUUUAAAAUAAAUAAUUUCAAGCUAAAUUUCUUCAUUUAAAUAUAUAAUUAGGAAGUUCAAUUUAUUUUUUUUAAUAUUAAAUUUAUUUUUCAAAAAUAAAUUAAAUAUUUUUAAUAAUUAUGAGGGUGGCAUUAAAUAUUUAAUCUAUAUAUAUAUAUAUAUAUAUAUAUAUAUAAGAUUUUUCAUGACAAAUAUCUCAUUUGCCUAUUUCUAAAAAUAGCAUUAGCAUUAAAACAACUUUCCAUAUUGAUUAUAAAACCCCUUUUGAGCGGGCACUGAUUUGUUAAAUUUCAUUUCAUAUAUUAUUUAUAUUUUAAUAUUUACAUUUUAUUUAUAUUUUAAAAUCCAGAAAAAACAUAGCGUUUUUCUAUAUAUGAAGAAGAUUAAUCUAAAGGGUCACGCUCCCCUCUUUUAUUUCUUUUUAUUGACGCAUAAUCGCUACUCUAUUAUAGUGUCAUCUAUUACAGUAUGUACUGACGUAUCUACAUGCUCACCAUCGACAGGCGGCCAUUUAAUUUUUUUUUUACGCUCGCACUAAUAAGAUCACAUCAUAACUGAACUUGCUCUCUUACUUUCUGUCAUGUUAAAUAAACUAAACUCCUUUCUAAUGAGAUUGGCUCUUCGAUCUGCUUCAACCGCGAGUUGAGCAAUAUGCUAAUAAGUCAGCUUGUAUAGUGAAUUCUAAUGGAUUUUGGAUUUAACUUUUCUAACAAGAUCUCAGUCUUAAUGUCGGUGACCUAACUCUGAUAAACUUUAAACAAUUAUAUAUGUAUAAAUUUUGAACAAAUAUUAAAUUACCAAAAAAUAAAAAAUAAAUUUAAUUUAGUAAAUAUUUUAAAAACUAUUUAAUAAGAAUUUCACUAAUAUUUAAAUUUUCAUUUUGAUAUUAUAAAUAGAUAUUUUACCAUUACAUUCUCUCUCUAUCUCUCUAUAUAUGCAAAAUUAAAAGGGGAAACAAAAUUAAAUGGGGUUCAACCAAUCUUGCCAUGAUGUGUGUGACAAGUAGAAGUUUAACAAAUUCUUGAAUAUAUGCUCACAAGUUGUGUGAGAACAUAUCCCAUUACCCAUUAAUAUUAAAAAAAUAUAUAUUAUUAUUAUUAUUAAUAUUUGAGAGUGGAAUGUGUAUAUCUAUAAAUUAAAAAAAAAAAAAAAAAAACCUCUCAUUACAUUAGCAUUCAUUUUUGUCAAACUUUGUUCAUGCUUUGACAGCCUGUCUUCCUCCUCAACCUCUCAAGUGAGUUUGUGGCCAUUCAAACUUUGUGACUCUUCUGCUUUCAUCCAUUUACUCACAUGACUUCCACACUCCAAAAUUUCAACAUUCUUACCUAAUCUAUCCCACAUUGAUUAAUCCUUACAUGUGCAUGAUCUUCUUUUUAUUAUUAAAAAACAAUUUUACAACUGCUCUGUCUAAACCUUAAAUGUUUUUUUUUAAAUAAAAUUUAGUCGCAAUAUUAAUUAAUUAAUUAAUUAAUUAAUUAAUAACCGUUAUUCAAAAUUCAAUGUAACAAUAAAUCCUUUUUAUAAUUACUUAUUACAGCUAUUAUUUUAAUAAAUUAAAAUAAAUGAAAUUAUAAGAUAUUUUUUUAUUUUUCCCUUAUUUAUAUUUGAAUUAAGUGGAGAAUCAUCAAGUAAAAGAAACCUCAUGAUUCCUCUCGUGGGAUUUUAACCUCUCUCUUUCUAAUAAUCUCAAUUUUGGCCGACUUUCUUGGCCAAGUCAAACAUAAAGGCAUAAACUAAAGCAGGCUUUUCUUUAAAUAGUAACUAAUAAAUUUUUUAAAAUAUUAAAAAUAUUUUAAUAUAUUUUUUAAAAUUAAAAAAUUAAUUUAUAAAUAUUUUUAUACUAUAAAAAUUACAUAGUAACUUUUCUUAAAUGUAACGAGCUUGCAGCUUGAUCUACUCUAAACCACUUUGCUUUAUAAAAAAUAUUUGACAGAUUUGUGUGCUAAUUUUAGAAAAGUACUAAAAUAGCAGUCUCAAAAAUUAUGAUAUUUUCAAUUUAAUUUUGAGCUGAAAUAAUAUAUAUGAAAAAUAUUAAUUUAGAAAAAAAGUGGGGAAUCUGUAAUGAGGUUGGUUUGUGUCCAUCAAAACCCACUUGGUGCUAAGGGUUAGUGGAAAAGCUUUUGAUUUUGUAGCCAAAAUGGAGCAAUAAGUGAACCCAUGGUCCAGUGUAGCCAUUAAUUGGGGAGCAGCCAUCGUCUAUAUUCUCAAUCAUGAUAAUGACUUUUUUUACCAAUCAAAAUCGUUCAUUUUUCUUUUUUUAAAGUUAAAUAAUUUAUUAUAUUAAUAAAAUUAUAUUAAAUAAAAAUAUAUAUCAUUCCAAACACAAAAAUCAAUUAAAAUAUGUGUUAGAAUAGUAUUACAAUAAAUCCAUCUAAUAGGAAUAUCAGUUCUAAAGUUUAAUAAAAAUUUAUAAUAAUUCAAAAUUAAAUCUCUGUAUAAGAUAAUUUGAUAAAAAUACUUUCUAAGUAUUUGUCUAAAUUCUGUAUAAGAUAAUUUGACAAAAAUACUCCUCCUUCUUUAACAUCUUUCGAAUAUAAAUUAUUAAAAUCUGUCAAAUAAAAUUACGAAAUAAAAUUACGAAAUAAAAUUUCUACAAAAUAAAGCUAAUCAUUUAUUUAUUAUUUAAUUAUAAUAAAAUAAUAAAAAAAUAAUUAAAAUCCUAUUUAAUUAGAGUCGUGUAUUUUUUUGAUAAACAGAUAUUAUUUCUUUUAAAAUUGAUUUCAAUAAAUAAAUUUUAAAAUUUAAUAUAAUGUUAAUAAAAAUAAACCAUUAAAUGAGAAAACAUAAGGUUAGAGUAAUGUAAUAAAUGAUUGUUUGUGGCUUAGUUAAAAGCAAGCUUCAAAGGAUAAAAUUUCGUAUAACAAGAGGGUAUAAUUAUAUAUAUGAAAAAUAUUCUAUUAGAUUUUGAUGGCCAACCUAAAAAGCUAAGAUCCAAAAAAGAAAUACAAAUAUAUCACUCCAACUUCCAUAAUGGAUGACAAUUAGAUAUUUUUUUUAUGUGGUCAAAAAGCUGUCAUUUUAUAAAAGAUAAAAAAAAGAGUGAUCGGUGUUUACAGUACCGUGUUUUCAAAUUAAAAAAAUCAAUUGAAUCGUAUAAAUUUAAAAAUUUAAUUUAAGUUUUUAUUUAUUUCAAUUCGAUUUGAUUUUUAAUUUAAAAAUUUUUUAUUAUUUCAGUUUGGUUUGGUUUUAAUAAAAAAAAUGAAAAAAUUAAAUCGAACCGAAUUAUGAUAAUAAUAUAUUAUUUUUAAUAAUAUAGAGAAAUUAGAUCAUAUUAAAAUUAAAAUAUUUUAAUUAAAUUUUAAAAUACUAAAAAUAGAGUGUAAAAAAUAAAAAAUUUAUUAAAAAUUGAAAUCGAUUAAAUCGAAUUGAAUCGAACUGAAUCAGACCGAUUCAAUUCGAUUCGAUUUCUAACCAAAAUCGAUUUUGUUUGAUUUUCAUAAAUACUAAAAUUUCAAUUUUUGAUUUAUUCGAUUCGAUUCGAUUUUAAACUAAAUCGACCGAAUGCUCACUCGUGAUCUAUGGACAAUUAUUUCGAUAUUCAAAUUAGUAAGUUGUUAAAAAAGGCGAGUGUAAUUAAUUUAUUUGAAUUUAUUAAAAGUGUAUAAAAAUACGUAUUUUAAAUUUUAUAUAUAUAUUAUUUUUAUAUUAUAAAAAAAUAAAAUUAAUGAUUUUUUUAAAAUUCAACUAAUACCAAUUAGUGUAUAAAAAAUCUUAUAAUUAUAGACGUAAUGAAAAUUUAUUAUAUAAUAUCUUUUACCGAUAAUUCAGACGUCAUGAAAUGCGUAAAUCUAAAAGGGCAAUACCAUAUUAUCAAAAAAAUGUAUAUAAAUUUUUGUAUAAUUGAGUGAUUGAGACUUUUAUAAGUGAAUUGAAUUUAUGGAACGGUUGAGAAAGGGAUGUAUGAGGUAAGAAUAGAAGUUUGGAAGACAACUUGUAAAAUCUUUGAUGUAAAAAAGAGAAAAUGAAAUCUUUACUUUCUGAUGAGAAGCACUUUGGCAUUACUAUCAUUAUCAUGUCCACUAGUUGAUUAUCUCUUAUCAUCCAAAAAUAAAAAGAAAUAAAAUAUAAUUACAUUAUUUUAAUAAUAAUUACUAGUAAAUAAUUAGUCUCCUUUUAUUUUAUAUAAAUAUUCUUUUAGCUAAAAGAAAAAUCAAAUCAUUUUUAAAAAAUAUAUUUUUAAAAAAGUUAAGUAAUUUUCUAAAUUACUAUUAUAUAUAAAUUUAUUGAUAUUUUAUUUAUUUUUAGGAUUAUAAUCAAAUAACAAAAAAUAAAUUAUACUAUUGUAAAAUAUAUAUUUUUUUUAAAAUUCUUUAAAUGUAAGUUAUUUUUCUUAAAUAAAUAGAUAUUUAAAAUAUACAUAAAUCCUAUAAUCUAAAAUUUUUAAUAAUAUUUUCUAUUAUUUACUAUUUCUUUUUUUUACUAAAUUUAAAGGUGCAAAUGGGAUAAGCUUGCCAUCAUUUUCAUGUUUCAAGUUGCCCACCAUCACUUGGAGUGUUGUGGUUUGCAGUUGUUGGGUUUUAUUAAUAUUAUUUUAUAACACUUUUUUAUUGGAAGGAAAAUAUUUUUUUUUUAGAAAAUAAAAUUAGUAAAUGUAAACACUAAAUAAUAAUUUAUAUAUAUAUAAUAAUAUUGUAUGCAAUAUAAUAUUAUGAGAUCUAGAGAAAAUAUGGUUUUUAAUAGUUUAGUAAAAUUCUCUCUUUAGAGGAGGACAUCACUUUUUCUUUUAUUCUUCCUCCUUGCUUGCUAGCGAUACCUAAUGACAUUUCUGCUAUAAUGACACCUAUCUCUGUCAGACAGGUCUGUACGUUUAUCUAUGUAGGAUUGCAAAAGGACUGAACUUACUGUUUCUCUUCAUGUCCAUCUCUGGACUGACUACUGGAUUUGGACUCGCGGUCGACCCGGUCCACCGUACGUUUCAAGUCCAAAUUUGAGUUGUUGAGUAGGCCUGCCUAGGGGCUGUCCCGAGCUCCAGAUCUGUUCUGCUUUUGUGGAUCCCGACUUAGUCUAAGGGAGAAUGAGGUCCGACGGUUAUCAAAAGAAAAAGUGUAGCUAGUUGAAUCCAACCUACUCUAUCCUUGCAAGAAACAAAGAAGAUGCAUAUCCCAAAUAAGAUUAAUGAGAUUACAGUAAUUAUAUUAAAAAAAAUUAGAGAAAAGUGGUUGGUUUUGGGAAUUAGUAAAAAAAACCCAUAUGGGAAAAAAUAUAAAUUAUUAAUUAAACAUGGAUUUUGACUAAUCACAAUCCACAAAGUAUACUUAGAAGGAAUACAAUCAAUGCAGUAUUCUAAGCAGCCAUAUGUAAGCAUGUAGGCAAAAUGACUUUCAUGAGGGACCAAUCUUACCUUGGAGACAAUCCCAUUUGACUAAUUGAUGAUAUAAAGUUUCUUGAAAUUUAUUAUUUAAUUAAUUUGCAUUAAAUUAAUUUUUUUCCAUUUAAAACUUUAAAUUGUGUUUGUUGAUGAGACUUGUCUCCCUCCACAUUCUCUUAAUCUACUCCACCUCAAAAUAUAUAUAAUUUUUUAAAAAAUAUAAUUAAUAUCAUUAAAAUAAUAAAUUGUAGUAAUUAAUUUCUAUAUUAUUACAGUUUAAAAAAGAAAAUGAAUAAUAAUUUUAAAAUAAUUAAAAAAAUAGAUAAAAAUUAUAAAAUUAUAUUAUAUUAUUAUAUAUAAAUUAUCAUCAUAGGUGUGAGUAUUUUGUAUACAUUGACUAAAUUUAGUUAUCCAAAUUUUUACAAUGGAGUUUUCUUAUAAAUAGUGUAUGGAAGAUAAUGACUUAUAACAAAAAGACAAUAAUAUGAAUUAGCAAAAUUAAAUUCCAGAGAUUCUUAAAGGUCAAAGCUAAAAGAAAUAUAUAUUUUUUUUAUAAAAAUGGAUAUUUAAAAUUGAUAAAAAAUUAUUUUAAUAUAAUAAAAUUAAUUUAAAAUACAUAUAAUUAUAAUGGAAAUUUAUAAUUUAAUUUCUAAAUAUUGUAAUUAUUAAUAAAUUAGUUCUUACAUGUUCAGAAAUCUAUUAAAACGUUCUUAUUUUUUUUCUCCGUUAAUAAAAUAGUUAUUCCGUCUAUUUUUACCAUUAAAAAUAUAGCAAAAUACUAAAUACCCUCCUCUUCUCCUCCUCAUUCUCCUUCUUUUUCGAUUAUUCCUCUUCUUCUUCGAUUAAUUUUUUAUUUUUUUCUUUUUUUUAAAAUUUAAGUGGACCGGUUAAUCACUAAAUGCAACCAACUCCAUUAAUUCAUCCAAGCAAAUUUCCAUGUUAGUUGAGCCGCUCAGGCAAGCAAAAGGAUAAUAUAAGGGGGUGAAUUAUAUAUAAAAAAUAAUUUAAUUUAAAUUUAAUUUAUUUUUAAAAAUAAUAUCAGUUGGUACAACUAAUUUUAAAUUUUAUCGUAGAUUUGAAUCGUAUUUAAUUUUUAUUAUCGACAUUUGAUAAAAAUUUAUGAUAAUUUUUCAAAAAAAUAAUUUUAAGACUCACAAUAUUUAAAAAGUAUGACGAGAGUUAUAAGUUCAUUACAAAAUUUAAUAUUAAAAUUUCAUCUGUUAGGGAUUAAUUUUACAUUUUAAUUAUUUUUUAAAUAUUUUUAUAAUUUUAUGUAUUAAUUUUUUUUUAUUAUAAAUAAUAUUUUUUGAUUAUUAGACGUAUUUUUUAAUUUUUAAAUAAUUUUAAUAAAAUUUUUUAACUUUUAAUCUAUUUUUUUAUAUCAUCUUAAUUAAAUAAUAUUAAUUAAAAUUUUUGACAAAAUAUAAUUAUUUAUUUAUCAAAAUAUAAUUAAAAAUAGUAAAGUAUAGAGUUAUUAAAAACAAUACUAAUAUUUUUAAUUUUUAAAAAUAAUUGAAUCAAAUUAUAGUUUAUGAUAAUUUUCAAAUUUUUUUUUAUAAUUAACCCAUUAUUAUGUGUGAUAUUUAAAUAUAAGUUGCAAUUUUGUAAUUUAUAUAUUAUUAAAAAAUAAUAGGCAUUAUUAUUGGAAUUUUUGACAUCCUCAAUGUCAAUGAGAUGUAAUGAGAUGUGCUAUUGUGUUGUAUUCCUAUUGACUCAGAAAAUUCAGAAAAGCAGUUGGCUUUUUCCAUGCAAUUAGUGGAGUGCAAGCAUAUAUCACCAAAAGGAUGGUCAAAUUUUUACUUAUUUAAUAAUAAUAAUAAUAAUAAUUAUUUAAAAAGUAGUUUUUAUUAUAAAAUAAUUAAAUUAAAAAUAAAUAAAGUAAAAUCUUAAUUUAAAAUAUUUUAUCUCUUAAUAUGUAUAUAUCAUACUAACUUGUUAUAAUUAUUUAUAUAUAUUUAUAAUGAAUUUUAGUUAUAACUCAUUAAAAUGUAUCAAUAAUAUAUAAAUUUAAAAUAAAAAUUUUAAUUUAAUAAUUAAUAUAAAUAUCAAAACAAAAAUUAAAUAAUCAUCUUACGAUUGUGAGAUGGGAGAGGACAUUUGAAUUUUGAUUUUUUUUUAAAUUUAUUUUUAGAUUAAUUAAAGAAAAUUAUGAUUAAUUUGACGUUUCUGAUAAUUAAAUUUUCAACUUUCUCUUGAGUGCCGUCUACUAAAUUGCAACUGUAUCCAUUAAUCAAAUCUUAUCUUAGCAGUGUUGAGAUCAUCUUCAAAUAUCAAUCAAUUUUAUAAAAAAAAAAAAAUUAAAAUUAUCCCAAAAACUAUAAAAUCUAGAAUUUACGUCCCAAUCAAAAUUAAUUUUAUAAAAGAAAAAAUUGCAACCAUCUCCUUCUUAGAUUUCAAAUAAUGCUACAAUUUCAAUUUUCCAGUUGUAUGUGUACACACAUAUAUCAAAUAAAUUAUUUAUUAUGAAAAUUUCAUAAUUUAUUUUUUUAAUAAAAUCAUAAUUUCUUAUUUCAUAAUAAACGUUCUUGAAACGAAAUUAAUUAAUAAUAUUUUUAAAAUUUCUAAGGAUGUUUAAUCUAAGCCAUCAAUUAUUAAUAAAUUUUCAGUUUUAAAUAAUAAAAUUAAAAUUUAAUAGAAAUAAAUCAAUAGGUUUUUUAAAAUAUUAGAAAUGUUUUUUAAAAUUAAAUGAUUAAUUAAUAAAUUUAUAAAAUAAUAAUUUUUCUAAAAAUAAAUAAACAAAUGGAGAUAAUAGAGCCAAAAAGAAAGGGCAAAAAACAAAACUUGGAAUAUAUUAUAAAAAAAUCACAUUAUUCAAAGCUAUUUCUGUAAUUCCUUCAAUAGAUAAAAAGAAUAAAAGGAGAAAUUUAUAUAAUAUUAAUAUUAAUUUUGGUCUUCCAUGCACAUCUCCUAAAAAAGGCUGCUCUAUCCUCUGACCACCACAACCCAUCUCCUCCCUCAAACCCAAAAGGUCAAAAAUAACCCACUUCCUCUUCUCUCUCUAAUCUCUAAUCUCUAUCUCAAAAUCUCUUUCAUGGUCAUCUCCCAUAACCUCACUUCUAUUGUAAAGCACUCUUCUUUCUCCUUGCAAGCAAUACCCAUCUUCUCUUUCCCAAACCUAUUAAACAAAGAGGAAAAAACCAAUGUUUAAUGUCCAUUUCAUUUCUUUAACCUUGUCUCUGUGGAUAUGCAGAGUUUAAGUAGGUGAGAGAGAUUUAAAGGAGGAUUCUUUAUUUGGGUUUGUUUCUAUUGAGGAUGAUAGAUCUGAAAGAAAUGGGAAGCAAAUGGAGGAAAGCUAAACUGGCACUUGGCCUCAAUAUGUGUCUUUCUGUUCCUCAUAAUCUUGAGCAAGAUUCCUCGCCGUCUCCUUCCAGAUUCUCUGAUGCCGUUUCACUCUCUCCUGCCGGUUCUCUUUCCCGUGGCUCCACUACUCCCACGCCGUCCUCUUCUGGCCUCCGCUUGUCCAAAUCCGGGACCAAAUCCUCUAAGGUAUACACAACCGUAUUCAUGAUAUUUAGGUUCCUUUGAGUUUAUGGUUCUUGUUAGUUUUUUUUUUUUUUUUUAAAAAAUA
Molecule: long non-coding RNA, 30437 nt
Filed under: Manihot esculenta (cassava)
Lineage: Eukaryota; Viridiplantae; Streptophyta; Magnoliopsida; Malpighiales; Euphorbiaceae
Description: long non-coding RNA (MESC_LNC001995)
Source: RNAcentral